UUCAAACACAAUAGUCCAAUGAGAGUCAGUCAGAGUUCAUGAUGAACUGUUUUCUUUUUCUGUUCAGUAAUGCAGUGCCCGAGGCUUCUAUUGAUUGGACUCUUUAAUGAAGAGCGUUGAUUGGACUCCUGUUGUAGCUUCAGAUUUGCUUCGUCUUGUUCGUUGAGUUUCUCUUCUUACCGUACUGUUGUUUCGAGCUGAAACCAACAACUGUUCCACUCGGCUUCACCUUUUCUGCAACUUGGCAGAAGAAAAUAGAAAUCGACAGUUGCAUCUCUGAAUAUUCGAAUCAGAACGUGGGCAGGAGGUUGAGAAAAUCGACACCAAGAAUGAGUUCUACAUCUGCCGUCCAUGGAGAUGGGUCGCCGUUGCGGCCGACUCUGGUGGGGAUUCCGCCGGCUUGCUGCAGCCUCGUAUUGCAGUUAGACCUGUGGCCGAACAGGUAUGGUGAACUAGUCUUGACUCUUGAGAGGCACACCAUCAGGGCUCAAGGCAGAUGGUGAACUAGCACUCAGAAUGAGCACCACAUCCGCACCAAACAGGUCUUCAGAGACCCGUGGCCGUCUCUACCACAGGGUGCCGGCUCAAAGCGAUAAAUGAAUUGACUUCUGUUGAUAUGAGUUACACGUGUAGACAAGUGCAGAACUGGUGACUACAAGUCUGCUAGAACAUAAGAAAUUUACAGCAUGCAUGCUGUAUGCAAAAACCCACAGCAGCAAACCAUCACAUGGGCAGCUCAUGUUUCGAAUAACACGAACAAUUGCAAGUACUCCGUCUCUUUUGGUUUUUCAUUCGGCAACUAUUUCUAAAAUCAUGAAACUCCGCCUAUGUUGUCUCAACAUAGCCGGUCCCAAGCCCGGGUAAAGGAGGAGGGUUGUGAUAGGCUUGGCGAGCCAACGUAAAAACUCAGUCACCCUUAUGGAGAUGAAACCCAAAAGAUUUUCGUUGGGGCGUAACCCUCUCAGCGACGCGCCACAUCGGAACCCGGGUGUGGUGGAAAAUGAGCAAGGGCCGGGCCGUCACCCCUCAGGUGGUGCGCCGUAUCUUGAUCCGGAUACGGUGGCAAGUGAGCGAGGAUUGGGUCGUCGCAUCCUCAGUGGCGCGCUACAUCGGCGCCCGGAUGUAGUGGAAAAUGAGCAAGGGUCUUCGCAUUUGACUCGACGAGUGCGAAGGGUAAGGAAGCUAGCCGACCCUAGGAGGAUUCGCUUAGGUAGCUGGAACGUAGGGUCUCUGACAGGGAAGCUUCGGGAGCUAGUUGAUGCAGCGGUGAGGAGAGGUGUUGAUAUCCUUUGCGUCCAAGAAACCAAAUGGAGAGGACAGAAGGCGAAGGAGGUAGAGGAAACCGGCUUCAAGCUGUGGUACACGGGGACGGCUGCAAACAUAAAUGGCGUAGGCAUCUUGAUCAACAAGAGCCUCAAGUAUGGAGUGGUAGACGUCAAGAGACGUGGGGACCGGAUUAUCCUGGUCAAGCUGGUAGUUGAGGACUUGGUUCUCAAUGUUAUCAAUGCGUAUGCCCCGCAAGUAGGCCACAAUGAGAACACCAAGAGGGAGUUCUGGGAAGGUCUGGAAGACAUGGUUAGGAGUGUACCGAUUGGUGAGAAGCUCUUCAUAGGAGGAGACCUCAAUGGCCACAUGGGUACAUCUAACACAAGUUUGAAGGGGCGCAUGGGGCUUUGGCUAUGGCAUCAGGAAUCAAGAAGGAGAAGAUGUCUUAAGCUUUGCUCUAGCCUACAACAUGAUUGUAGCUAACACCCUCUUUAGAAAGAGAGAAUCACAUCUGGUGACUUUUAGUAGUGGCCAACACUCUAGCCAGAUUGAUUUCAUCCUCUCGAGAAGAGAAGAUAGGCGUGCGUGCCUAGACUGUAAGGUAAUACCUGGAGAGAGUGUUGUACCCCAGCAUAAGCUGGUGGUUGCUGACUUCCGCUUUCGGAUUCGUGUCCAGCGGGAUAAGCGUGCCAAAGUCGCUAAAACGAAGUGGUGGAAGCUCAAGGGAGAGGUAGCUCAGGCGUUCAAGGAGAGGGUCAUUAAGGAGGGCCCUUGGGAGGAAGGAGGGGAUGCGGACAAUGUGUGAAUGAAGAUGGCGACUUGCAUUCGUAAGGUGGCCUCGGAGGAGUUUGGAGUGUCCAGGGGAAGGAGAAGCGAAGAUAAGGAUACCUGGUGGUGGAAUGAUGAUGUCCAGAAGGCGAUUAAAGAGAAGAAAGAUUGCUUCAGACGCCUAUACCUAGAUAGGAGUGCAGACAACAUAGAGAAGUACAAGAUGGCGAAGAAGGCUACAAAGCGAGCUGUUGGUGAAGCAAGGGGUCGGGCAUAUGAGGACCUCUACCAACGGUUAGGCACGAAGGAAGGCGAAAGGGACAUCUAUAAGAUGGCCAAGAUCCGAGAGAGGAAGACGGGGGAUAUUGGCCAAGUCAAAUGCAUUAAGAACGGAGCAGGCCAACUCUUGGUGAAGGACGAGGAGAUUAAGCAUAGAUGGCGGGAGUACUUCGACAAGCUGUUCAAUGGGGAGAAUGAGAGUUCUACCAUUGAACUGGACGACUCCUUUGAUGAGACCAGCAUGCGUUUUGUGCGGCGAAUCUAGGAGUCUAAGGUCAAGGGGGCUUUAAAAAGGAUGAAAGGAGGCAAGGCGAUGGGCCCUAAUUGUAUCCCCAUUGAGGUGUGGAAAGGUCUCGGGGACAUAGCGAUAGUAUGGCUAACCAAACUUUUUCAACCUCAUUUUUCGGGCAAACAAGAUGCCAGAAGAAUGGAGACGGAGUAUAUUAGUACCGAUCUUCAAGAACAAGGGGGAUGUUCAGAGUUGUACUAAUUACCGUGGAAUUAAGCUGAUGAGCCAUACAAUGAAGCUACGGGAGAGGGUCAUUGAGCACCGCUUAAGAAGAAUGGCAAGCGUGACCAAAAAUCAGUUUGGUUUCAUGCAUGGGAGGUCGACCAUGGAAGCCAUUUUCUUGGUACGACAACUUAUGGAGAGAUAUAGGGAUCAAAAGAAGGACUUGCAUAUGGUGUUCAUUGACUUGGAGAAGGCCUAUGAUAAGAUACCACGGAAUGUCAUGUGGUGGGCCUUGGAGAAAUACAAAGUCCCAGCAAAGUACAUUACCCUCAUCAAGGACAUGUACGAUAAUGUUGUGACAAGUGUUCGAACAAGUGAUGUCGACACUGACGACUUCCCGAUUAAGAUAGGACUGCAUCAGGGGUCAACUUUGAGCCCUUAUCUUUUUGCAUUGGUGAUGGAUGAGGUCACAAGGAAUAUACAAGGAGAUAUCCCAUGGUGUAUGCUCUUUGCGGAUGAUGUGGUGCUAGUUGACGAUAGUCGGACAGGGGUAAAUAGGAAGUUAGAGUUAUGGAGACAAACCUUGGAAUCGAAAGGGUUUAGGCUUAGUAGAACUAAAACCGAGUACAUGAUGUGCGGUUUCAGUACUACUAGGUGUGAGGAGGAGGAGGUUAGCCUUGAUGGCCAGGUGGUUCCCUAGAAGGACACCUUUCGGUAUUUCGGGUCAAUGCUGCAGGGGGAUGGGGGUAUUGAUGAAGAUGUGAACUAUCGAAUCAAAGCCGGAUGGAUGAAGUGGCGCCAAGCUUCUGGCAUUCUCUGUGACAAGAGAGUGCCACAAAAGCUAAAAGGCAAGUUCUACAGGACGGCGGUUCGACCCGCAAUGUUGUAUGGCGCUGAGUGUUGGCCGACUAAAAGACGACAUGUUCAACAGUUAGGUGUGGCGGGGAUGCGUAUGUUGAGAUGGAUGUGUGGCCACACGAGGAAGGAUUGAGUCCGGAAUGAUGAUAUACGAGAUAGAGUUGGGGUAGCACCAAUUGAAGAGAAGCUUGUCCAACAUCGUCUGAGAUGGUUUGGGCAUAUUCAGUGCAGGCCUCCAGAAGCUUCAGUGCAUAGCGGCCGGCUAAAGCAUGCGGAGAAUGUCAAGAGAGGGCGGGGUAGGCCGAAUUUGACAUGGGAGGAGUCCGUUAAAAGAGACAUGAAGGAUUGGAGUAUAACCAAAGAGCUAGCUAUGGACAGGGGUGUGUGGAAGCUUGCUAUCCAUGUGCCAGAGCCAUGAGUUGGUUACGAGAUCGUAUAGGUUUCACCUCUAGCCUACCCCAACUUGUUGGGACUAAAGGCUUUGUUGUUGUUGUUGUUGUUGUUGUUGUAACUAUUUCUAUAAUCAUGAAUUGGACUAAUGAAAUAUGAGUUACAUAUCACAAAAGGUAAAUCACUGAAAACUUCUUCUGAAUAUGAAUACCAUGGUACACUUCUUGUGAUAUACAAUACAUAUUUCAAUCAUCUAGAAUGCGCAAGAGUCGGUAAGUAUAAACCUAGAGAAUAGGGUCACAACUCUAAAAUAGGCCCACGGCUUCAAAUAGCAACCAGUAAAUCACGGUCAGUCGGUGUUCAUUAACCAGGGCAAAGACCGAAUAAUAUCAACCACGAAAAAAGGCCCCCGCUUCGCUCCGCUCGGGGCGACGCGGGCGGCGACGCAACCCCAGCCGUCAAGCCACCUUCCCCUGCCUUCCCCGCCUUGCCGCCGCCAGAGGGGUCGCUGGCGAAGUCCGCGUGGCUUCCAAGGAAGGUGUCGGCGAGGCCGUGCUGCUUCGUCUCCGUGCGGAGGGCUCUUGUAGCCGAGGCGGCGGCCUCCUUAGCCAGUUCUGGUCUGGGCAGCAGCGGCGCGGCUUGCGUCGUCACCUUCCUGAAGGUGUCGUCUUCGGUGAGUUGGGGUGUGCGUUGGCAUUUGGAUGUGGUUCUCCGGCGAGCAGCGACAUCCCAGUUGGACAUUACGCCGGGAUGAUAUUUUCGCAAGUUUAGCUCCCUGUGGCUGUCUGUAGGCCGGUCGUUUGUGUGUUGCCAUGGUAGGGGAGGGUAUAGGGUUCCUCUCCCCUGUGUGAAGCUGCACGGCGUCGGUGCUUCGAACAUGGAUCCUAAUUAUUUGAGCUCUAGUCUUGUCUCAGCUUCAGUUGUUUAUCAACCCUGCGAUUGUUUCUUUGGUGCCCCCGUCCUUCAACAGCUUUAUUUCUUCAUGUAUGGACCAUUGAGCUGCAGUUACGCUCUUCUCCUGGUGAUCUUGCACAGUGGGUUGGACACGCUGAGUAUCUCCCAAGGUGCUACAGAAUCCCUACCGUUCCUUGCUCUAGGGUGAGCUGCUUCAAUUUGUGACGGUCCGGCGCCCUUCGAUCCAGGGCGAUGGGCAGGGGUCCCCUUCGGAAUUGAAGAAGAAGGGUUUGAUACCGAAAAAGGCUUUCGCCCCGCUUUAUAGAUAAAGCAAAAGAAGGAGGGUUUGAUCAUGGUGGUCUCCUUUCAGAGUAGAUGAGGGCAUGUUCAUCUUCGCUGGGUGCGAUUCCCUCUUGAAGCUCGCUUGUUGUCAUUGCCUUGGUUCUUCAUUCGCGUCGAAGGGCUCCAUCAACAUUUAGCUAGUCUACGUGUAGAAUUCCUUGUGCUUUCUGUUGUGGUGCCUGUAAGCUGUUUUUUUGUAGCACCUUGUAUCUGCCGUUUUUAGUUUCAUUGUUUUUCUUUUCCGGUGUAUGGGCCGAUGUAAUUCCUGGCCGGUUGAUGGCUUCGUAAUUCAAAGCCGGGCUCUCCUUGAGCCUUCGUUCUAAAAAUAUUAACCAGGGCAACAUUACAUGAUCCAUUGUCGACCAACAAUGUAAAAAUCAUAGAUUUUGUGAUUUAGCGAAUCCGGGUCUCACACAGUCACACCACGCCCCCUGUACAUGAGAUAGAGAGCAGAGGGGCGCGGAGGAAAUCGAACGACUUCAAACGGAGAGGACGUUCUCGAGCGGCGUGCACCUGCCUACAGGCUGCCGACUGGCCGACGCUGUCCAGGCUCGCCGGGUGCCGCCACCAGCUGUGUGUCUUCAUCAAAAUGUUGCGUACGACAGUUGUUCGGUAGAUGUAACACCGCUCCUGCUCUUGUCCCCUCCAGCCAACGCGUGCUUCAAAACAAUGCCCUCGGGAGGGACAACGGCAUUGAAGGUGCCAUCAUCGUCCGAUCCGGUAGACCCAGAUCUAGGGUUUCCCCCGGAGCUCACACCGUUGCCGCUGCUGGAGCUACGCGACGCCCACCACUCAUAGCAUCUCUCGCCCGACCAUCUGAGCCUCCCAAGAUGGCGCCUCCAUGGAGGUUACAACGCGCAGGGCACCGCCACCCCCCAAUCCAGAGUGAAUUUUGGACUUUCGUCCAGGAGGGGUUCGGAUGUGGAUAGGAGGGACCUCGGCUUCACUUCCAGGGAGGGUAACGGCGUCGAGGAACGCCGUCGAUGCCGGGCCGGACCAACCGGCCAAAGUUUUCUCUAGUCCCCAACCUAUACCACCAAACCCCCGACUGUUCCGGAUCCGACAGCGAGACGAACCGAGAACAGCAGAGAUGCGAGUGCCAUGGGGCUCAACCCACCAGGAAGGAGGAUCAAGAAGGACAACCGCCGUAGAUCUCCAGGCGCCAGAUCCAACGAUCCGACAAAGCCAGCGGCGUAGACCACCACCCUGCGCCGACCGACAACAUCCAAGCACCAGAUCCAGAUGGAUCUGGCCUGAACAUGGUGAUGCCCGCGACCACCCGAUCUGAAGACCACGCAGCCACCACCUCGCCGUGGACUCACAUCGAAGCCGCAGCUGCCGCGCCGCAUCGCCGGCGCCGCAACUCGUCGCCGCCAUGAUGUUCGCCCGCCGCGCCGCCAAACCCCACGCUAGCCCGACGCCUCUUCGCGAUCUGGCUGUCCCGCGUCGCCCAAGACGCUCCAAGGGGGAGAGAUGCCCCGCCACCGCCCAGCCGGCCAAGCUUUGCUCGGCGGCGCUGCGGACAGCGGCGAGGAGAGGUGGAGGGGGAGAAGGGCCGAGAGGAUGGCAGCUAGGGUUCCCCCUGGGUCGCCCGCGGGGCGACACGAGGGGGACGAAGGGAGUACAAUACAUAUUUCAAUCAUCUAGAAAUGGGCAAAAGUCCUAUAAACCCGGAGAAUAGGGUCACAACUCUAAAAUAGGGCCACAACUUCAAACCGCUACACUGAAUCACGGUCCGUCUGCAUUGAUUAACCAAGACAACAUUACCUGAGCACGAUAAUUAUCCAAUCAUAGCCAGUCGGCGUUCAUUAACCAGGACAACAUUACAUGAUCCAUAGUCGACCAACAAUGUAAAAAUCACAGAUUUUGUGAUUUAGCGAAUCUGGGUCUCACACAGUCACACCACGCCCCCUGUACAUGAGAUAGAGAGUGGAGGAGAGCUGAGGAAAAUCGAAUGGCUUCAAACGAUGAGGACGUCCUCGAGCGGCAUUCACCUGCCUACAGGCCACAGACUGGUCGACGCUGUCUACGCUCGCCGGGGGCCGCCACCGGCUGCGCGUCUGCAUCAAAAUGUUGCGUAUGGCAGCUGUUCCGAAAAAUAGUGAAAAGGAAUAAGGGAGGAACAAUUUGCAGAGUUUCCAGACCCGAUAAGAUCUAUAGGGUGCCACAUCAUCAGAAUUUUUGACCACGGACUCGUUUACAAUCCCAUCCACCUGAUAAACUCAAUGGACGAGACUUGCCUGCUCCCCGCGCGUGCGCCUAUCCGUGCUCCCGCGUACGUGGCUUGAUUUGAUUGGAACAAAAUAAGGCCCGGCGAAUCGUCUCAGACCGUUCCUGGAGGAACUAAUUUUGGAAUCUCAAAGUGCUUUCAUUCCCGGAAGAUUAAUCUCGGAUAAUGCUUCAAUUGCUUUUGAGUGUUUCCACAAGAUCCAACAGAGUAAGAAUGCUAGGGACAAUCAUUGUGCUUAUAAAUUGGACCUGACAAAAGCUUACGACGGAGUGGAAUGGAAUUUCCUAGAAGGGGUCUUGCUAAAAUUUGGUUUCUGCCAAAAAUGGGUGUCAUGGAUUAUGACGUGUGUCCGUUCAGUUAGAUACGCUGUCAAGCUGAAUGGUGAAAUCCUGGAAUCCUUCUACCCCUCCAGGGGGUUGAGACAAGGAGAUCCUUUGAGCCCUUAUCUUUUUUUGUUUGUGGCUGAAGGUCUGUCCCGAGCACUUGAAGCUGAAUGUUUUAUCUCUAAUAUUACCCCUCUCAAGGUUGCGAGGGGCGCUCCGGGAAUUUCUCAUCUUCUGUUUGCGGACGAUAGUUUAUUGUUUUUCAAGGCAACUGGGGAUCAAGCAAAGAGCGUGAAGUCAGCCCUCAAUGUUUUCCAGAAAGGCACGGGACAAUUGUUGAGCCCAAGCAAAUGUUCCAUCCUAUUCAGCAGUGUAUGUCCGAUUCAGGUCCAGGAGGAGAUCAUGCAUACCCUGGACCUCACAUCUUCGACCUUUGAGGAAAAGUAUCUCGGUCUUCCAACCCCUGAAGGACUAAUGAAAGAUUCUCAUUUCCAACCCAUUUUCGAGAGGUUCACUAAAAGACUUACGGACUGGGCAGAAAGAUAUUUGUCCUAUGGGGCAAAAGACAUUUUGGUCAAAUCUAUUGCUCAAGCCCUGCCUACGCAUACCAUGAGUAUCUUCAAAAUGAGUGCAGGCUUUUGUGAUAAAUAUGAGAAGCUGAUGCGCGACUUCUGGUGGGGGGAUGAAGAGAACAAAAGAAGAGUGCACUGGAUGUCUUGGGAGAAGAGGACAAAACCAAAGCGUGAGGGGGGCUUGGGUUCCGAGAUAUGCGUAUUUUCAAUCAAGCUCUUCUCGCAAAACAAGCAUGGCGACUUGUCCAAAGACCUGACAGUCUUUAUGCUAGGGUUCUAAAAGCAAAAUACUACCCAAAAGGAAAUUUGUUGGACACGGUCUUCACCUCUGAUGGAUCACCCGUGUGGCGUGGAAUUGAAUAUGGGCUUGAACUCCUGAAAAAAGGAGUGGUUUGGAGAGUGGGAAAUGGAAAGAGUAUCCAAAUCCUUCGUGACAACUGGAUACCUCGGCAAUCUGGCCUUUCCAUACAAUCCAUGAAAACUAGAAGCCGGCUUAGAUGGGUAAACCAGUUGUUGCUUCCCCAUUCUAAUGACUGGACAAGCAGAUCACUGACAAGUUGUUCUACAAUUUUGACUCGGAAGAAAUAUACAAGAUCAAGCUUCCCCCAAAGCCUAUGGGGGAUAUUCUAGCUUGGAACUAUGAGAAGAAUGGUACAUUUACGGUUAGGAGUGCUUAUCAUCUUGGUGUUUCUUUGCAGGGGGGUCUAAUGAAGGAUCCUCAAAAAACCCAAGUAUUGAUAGGGAGAGCUUAUGGAAUCUAGUCUGGAAAGCAAAGGUGCCACAUAAAGUCCGUAUCUUCACCUGGAGGGCUGCCACUGAUUCUCUCCCUACGAAGGACAACAAGCACAGGAGGACUCUUGAAUUGGAUGGUAUAUGCAACCUAUGUGGGGCUGCGAUUGAAAACGCACAUCAUGCUACCGUUGUUUGCACAAAACAGAGAGCUCUUCGUGAGGAAAUGAGUAAAAUUUGGAAACUGCCGGAAGACAAAUCAAUCAUGCCUUUCUCCCCGGAUUGGCUUUUGCAAAGCUUGAGUAUUUGCCAUGGUGACAUGAGGGAAAAACUUAUGCUAGUUCUUUGGAGGGCUUGGCACCUGAGAGAUGAUGUCAUUCACAACAAAGGUGAGGCUACUAUACGAGAUUCUGUGAUUUUCUUGAGGAAUUAUUGGGAGUGCCUAUCCAGCUCAAAUCCGGUUGUAAACGAUGUGAAGGGGAAGCAAAAGUUGCAUGGAGUUAAUUUGCAGUCUUCUAGCCUGCCUCUCCAUGUUGAGGUGCUUGGCUGGACUAAGCCGCCCACAGAUCACAUAAAGAUCAAUGUCGACGCUUCUUUCAUUGCAGGCACGGGUUUGGCCGCGCUGGGAGCGGUUGGCAGGGAUUGUUUGGGUGAUAUUGUCUUCUCAGCUGGUUGUCGUUUUCAUGGAUGCUCGGAUGCAGAGGAAGCCGAAGUCCAGGCCCUUUCUUUCGGCCUUAACCAGGCUCGUAAACUGAAUUUGAACAAAGUGCAGAUGGAGACCGAUUGCAACGCUGUUGUGGCCGUUGUGAAUGAUAGUAAUGUUAGCAGGGCCAGUUGGUGGGCUUGUUAUGAGAAAUCUAAGGAUAUGAUCAAGGAGUUUGGAGCUUGUUCUGUUUUCAAAGUCCAUAGGGAGAGCAAUGUGGUUGCGCAUGAGCUUGCUGCCUAUGCUAGAGUGAACAGGGAUUUCUUUCUAUUAGCUGAUGCGCCACAAGCUUCGAAACAUGUAAUUACUUCUGAUUGUAUUUCAGACUUAUUGAUAUGAAUGAAGCUCUCCCUUUCCUAAAAAAAUAAGGCCCGGCUCCACCCCUUUAAAAUCAGGGGGGAAAUGAUUAGAUUAGAAAAAAAAGAAAAAAAGACAGCUGUAAAAUGAAGUGGGAGCACGGAUGGGAGCAUGGGAAGAGAGCAGGCAAGCCGGAUCCAAACUCAAUGGCUGCUGGUGCGUAUUAGUCCACGAGACGAGAGGCCCACCAAUCACUCCUCAGUCCUCAACAGUUGCUGCUUCAUUUCUUCUUCUAUUGCUCCCUGCGGCGGCUACGGUUGUACUCUUCUACUCGUCUCCUCCCCCUCCUCCUCUUCUGUUCAAUACACUUCUUCUCGCCUGGUACUCUUCUACUGGUACGCAUCUCUCUUCUUUUAUCCUUGUGGUUUUGACAUUUUCUGUACAACUUCUUCCUCUCUUUUUUAUGAAUUUUGGUGAUUCUGAUACGAAUUUUUCAUGUGCAGAAGUGGAUCUACUCUCCACUAGUUCAUCUGGACAGCAAAUUGGAUUUGAAGAACUGCUAUCAGGGUAUCCUUCUUCUACUUAUCCCUUGUUAGUUUAACCGUCAGGUUCAGAUUUUGCUUAUUCUGUCUAAUAAAAACAAAUCUUGUAGCCGUGUGUAGAUCAAGAGCAACUACAAAUAAAGGUUGACAUAUGGAGGUUUGUAUGGAGUGUGAGAAUUCCAGCGAUAAAGAGAUGGAGACAGCCAAGGCUUGGCUGAGGCGCGCAGCACAAGCCCAUCCAAAACGUCCCACCAUUCAAAUCGAUUAGACACGAGUGCUGACUGACAUGCCUCUGCCGCCAGGAAGGUAAGGUUCAGUUGAGCAACCAUGAAUUCUCUUUUCCUGAAUAUGCUCGUUGCCAUAUUGUUUGAUUAUCCCUCUUACUUUUCCAAUUUCAGGCCUUCAAUGUAAUCCCGGAGCCAUGUACUGGUGAUUCCAUCAGUUGCCAUGGAUACUGUUCCAACAUUUGAAACAACUGAUCACUGCACCACUGUAGGCACCGGCAUCUCUUUUGAUUCGUGUACCGGUACUCCGGUAGUGCAGCUCCCAAUAAAGAAGGCUCAUUCUCUCCAACGUAUGUGAAUUCAGUCUUUUGCUACAUGGAGGCUUGCACGUUGUUCAUGAUGAACUGUUUCUUACUUCUGCAUAUGCUUUCAGAAAUGCAGCACCGCAUAUGCUUUCAGAAAUGCAGCACUGCAUUUCCUUUGUUCAGUCAAGACUCGUACAAUAAAAUGUUGCAUUCAGUUCGCACUAUUUGUAGUACUAUUUUCAGAAAUGCAGCACCGCAUAAUGCGCUGCGUUGUUUUGUUUUUCUUGGCUUAUUUAAGUUAUUAGUAAUGAGGAGUUGAUGGAACUCCUGUUGGCUUGUCCUGCUUUGCUUGCACCUAAGGCUCUUAGAAUAAAAGGUUAGCUGAUUGAACUCGUGUUGUAGCUUCCGAUUUGCUUCAUGUUAAGAUUUCUCUUCUUAUUGCAACUGGGUCUAUCUACUAAACUGCUGUUUCGAGCUCGUCGGAUUUUCGUGAUAGAGCCUCCAAGGUAGCAAGAGAGCCUCGAACUACCACAUCCAAUUGGAACUGGUAGGAAGUAUGUUAAUUCCGGUCGAAUUAGAGCCGGUUGUCGCGCAACCCAGGGGGCAGGAUCUGCCCUUGUUUGUUGCAGAGCAGCCCAAGCCCCCAUCCCCAUGGGCCAUGGCACCCCCUUCUCCAACCAGUUUUACAACAGAGUUGAGGAGCAACGUGAGAACUAGUUCUGAAUCUGUGCUAUCACGUCACUGGGUUCCUUUGGAGUUGAUUCAGUUUCAGGUUGCUACUUUAGAAUAGCAGCCACUCGUGUAUAGCUCCUCAACAUACUUAACCAUUUUGGGUUUGUCAACCAUAUACUGGAAGAGAUUUUCUAGCAGUCAAGGAGUCCUCUUUGUUUCAAGGAGGGGAAUGUUAGGACUAUCUCCUGACCGUUUACACUCUGGCUCUGCAUCCCGAUCCCCUCUCAUGCCUCCCAACUACAACGGCCAUGUGUUAAUCCCUGCGUGAUUGAGUGAACCGGGUAGUGGGUUGCUAGCAGGGUUCUCCAAGAUGAUGACGCCUAAUUCAUCCAGCUCUGGAAAUUUACAGAGGGAUAUAUAAACCCCUAAAUCCUCAUCGAGGUGUGAGAUCGACAACUGCUCCAGAUUGUUUCAUUUUUUUCACUUCCACGUAUUUCUUUUUCACAGAUGAUUGCCUCGGCUUGUCUUGGAAGCAAAUGCGAUUACGUUCAUGGUGAUGGUGGAUGAUUACCACUAUUCGUCUUCAUGCUAAUAUUGGUGAUGGUGGAUGAAAUAAUUUACAGUGUGUUGGGAGCCUGUUCAAGUUGGUGUCCCGCUUUUUGUGUUGAUCCAACAUGAAUGAGCUUAUGGUGGUAUUGAGAAUGAACAUAUAUGGUGGUGGUACUGAGAGUUGAUGGAUGCUGAAGCAAUGUAAGCAUUCUUGUUAGUAGUCAGGUUGCUGCAUUGACCAUUCCAUACUGAACUUGAGCAUUGCAGUGCCACCAGCAGGGGAGUGAGUGUAAUCUGAAUUCGGAGCUACCUGGCUCGCUGUGAGUCAAUUCAGGGAACGGAAAGAAGGGAGGAUGACGCGGCGUUUUGGCUCCCGGGGUCAGAUGAGUCUGGGAGUGAACAGUAAAUUCGUUAAAAAAUACUAAAAAAGUUCAAUUUUUUUGGUGAAAGAUGCUCGAGUGCGUGAUGUUCAUCAAAAUUUCAGAGUAUUUAAACAUCUGAGUAGCUCUCAACAAAAAGACAAAUUUAAGGUCUAUAAAAAAGUUUACUAUUUUGUGUUGUUCUAGCCUGUUUUUUUCCUGAGAGCUACUCAGAUGUCCGAAUGUGCUGAAACUUGGCACGGACAUCAUGCACUCAAGCAUCUUUCAACACACAAAAAAUCGUACUUUGGAUUUUUCUAAUAUUUAUUAUGAAUUUAUUGUUCAUCAGGUGUAAAUGAGCUCGAGCUCCGAAUUGGAUAUUCAGGACUGUAAGUUGUACUCCUAUGUAACAUAAAAAUGUGAGGAAAUCGGGAAAAUUAUAAAAUGAGAAAAGUAAAAAACUCAGAUUGAAAAUAGAAUAUUCUAGAAAAGACUGUAAACCACAAAUGGCAUAAAUAUUAGGGGAAGUAAGGACUUAUAUAAUAAAAUAAACAUGGGAAUGAUUCUUAAGCUUUCAAUACAGUUUAGUUAAUUUGCUGAAUUUCGCAAAAAAAUGCUGAAUUUUGUACAAUAUAUAAUACGUGUCCUUUUAUUCUAAAAAAAUGUGUCUUUUCUUGUUUUUUCCUUUAUUUGUUUCACAAUGUUUCUCAUCUGUCCUUUUCUAAAUCUUGUGGAUUAUACAAGUUUCUAGAUAUAUUAUUAAAUUUGGAGCAUUUGGUUUUGUCUCCAACUCCGAGUCUCACGGCUGAUUCGUUCCCCUCUCCUUAUCCCCUCGCUACAGUGCAGAGAGGCGACAAGGGAGGGAAUCACCUUCCCUUGAUCCGCCGCCAUCCAGGCCAGGUGUUCCUUCUCUCUCUGUCCGUCGUUUCAGCCAAGAGAGUGAGGAACUCCGUUCCUGCGGCCCCGACGUGUAGAUAGUCGGGUAGUUCUUCCUGGCGGUGUCGUCAAUGUGGGAGAAGCGGUGUCGCGGAGGAAUAAAGGUGUAUGCGCCUUGUCUCCUGCUCGGCGAGGCCCUUGUGACGUAGCCGGCAAGCGUCCGGCGGUGUGAGCCGACCAGGUGGCAUGCUCGGGGUAAGGUCGUGGCGGCGGAGGUGGUAACCUUUCUUUGGACCUUUUUUUCCCUCCCGCUCCAUCUCCGUCUCAAUGAGGUAUGCUCUGGCCUUGCUGUGGAGGAGGUGCAGCGACGUUCCGACGGUCUUCGUCUGGUGGCAUGUAUCACCACAAGAUUCAAGGUCUUGCCGGCUCAGGUGGCAGCGGCGCGUCUGCGUCUUGUCUCGAUGGUGGUGGUGGUCGUUUGCUGGUGACGAGGUGCUUUGUACUGCAGGUGAAACUUCAAUACAAUCUAGGACCUUUCUGCGAAAAGAGCUCCAAGUCUCAGAUUUUUCCGAAACAAAAUAUUACACGUUAGUGGAGGCUGCUUUUUCUUUUCUUCUUGUGGGGGUUAGUGGAGGCUGCUGCUAAUAAUGCGCGGAGAGAUGAGACGAGACGACCGCAAGUCGUUCAUUCCAGGUCCACAAAUACUCCGUAGUUUGUUUCCACUACUUCCUGUCUGCUUCUUUCUUUCUGCUCUCUGCGGCGACUACAGACUACAGUGGUCGCGCCGGUCUCUGCUUCUUUCCUUUGUCUCCGGUUCUCCGAGGAAAGAUACUACGGUGGUCUCCUCCCAAUCUGCGACGGCGACGGCGACAGCGCCCAAGGUACUCUGCUGCUCGCCUCCUACCCCUCCUCCUCUGUUCCAUACAUUUCCUUGGAUCUGGUUAGCGCACAGCUCUCUUCCUUUCUCAAUUCUUCGUGGUUUUGAUGUUGCAGAGUUCGAUCCAUUCAACGUAUGCUCAGCUCAGCAGAGGUGGAGAGUUGCUUUUCGGUGUUGGAGACGCUCUUCUUCAGCUCGCCCUCUUCAUUGAUCCAAGCCAGGUGAUGCAUUUUUUUUUUGUGCCGUCCGUCACAAAGUUCAGCUGUGUAGGUAGAUCCAGAGCCGACUGCGUCCCCAUUACAGCUGUGUGGGUAGAUCCAGAGCAAGGGGAGGGUCAGCUCUUGCUUGAUCUGUUUCUCCCCUCCUUGUUGAUCUCUUGCUGCUAUUUUUUACUGUAUAAUUAUAUUACAGUAAAAGUGUUAAAAUAUGUACAUUAGGAAAAAGAAAAAGGAAUAAGAUAAAAUAAAGUAAAGAGAAAAAAAUGGUCAGUGGUCAGAGCUUAGUAUCUAUCCAUGUUCUGAGGGAUGCUGUACGUUUUCUUUUCACUCUGUCCAGCUUUUCCAAACAAAAUCAGAUCAUACUUUUCCAAACAAAUUAGUAUCUGAAAACAAUUAGUAUGUCUAGUUUUUCCAAACAAAAAUCAGAUCAUGCUUUUCCAAACAAAUUAGUACUGGGAGCUGUUACUUUCACGAAACACAAAUGUCCAGCUUUUGCUCAUCCGGUAGUUUUCUGAAAACAGUUAGUUUGGUUUUUGCUGAUUCUGACAUGAAUUUAUUUUAUGCAGAACUGGAUCUAUAAUCUAUUCUCCAGUAGUUCAUCUUGGGCUGCUUUUGCUUGCGGAGGACUCUGCAAAUUGGAUUUGAAGGAGCUGCUAUUCAAGGUACCCUUCUUCUGCUUCUGCUUUGGAAAGAAGCAAUGCAUAUGCGCUAUGUUUACAGUCAUUUUCACCAACCAAUCAGGUUCAGGUUUUCCUCAUUCUGUGUUUUGAAAACCAUCAUGUUUGCAUUGCAGAAUUUCAAGCCAAAGACAAUGCUAUAGCCGUCUGUAGAUCAGAGAGCAAAGACAAAAAAAAAGUCGAGAUAUGGAGGCCGCUGCUGGGGCGUUGAGCCCUGUCCUCCGUAAGCUCGGUGAGCUGCUCGCCGGAGAAUACAACCUGGAGAAGCGAGUGAAGAAAGGUGUACAAUCACUUCGUACAGAACUGGAGAUGAUGCACGCCGUACUUCGUGAGGUUGGCAAGGUGCCGCCGGAUCAGCUCCAGGAGCCGGUCCGGAUUUGGGCUGGCAAGGUGAGAGACCUGUCUUGCGACAUGGAAGACGCUGUUGACGACUUCCUGACGCGUGUGGGUGAGGGUUCAGGCAGCAAGCCAACGGACAUGAGGAGUCGAGUCAAUAAGUUCCUCAAGAAGACCACCACAUUAUUUGGUAAGGGCAAAGCACUUCAUCAAAUCUGUGAUGCCAUCAAAGAAGCUCAGGAUCUUGCCAAGGAGUUGGCUGAGCUGCGUAAAAAGUAUGAGCUUGACAUGUUUAGCUCUACCAACGGUGCUACCAUUGACCCUCGCGUGUUAGCUCUACAAAAAGAUGUAGGGGAGCUUGUUGGACUUGACCGCACAACGGAUGAACUUAUUAAAACACUGAUUUGUGAGGACGGGAGUUCCAAGGAGCACUUGAAGACAAUCUCUAUUGUUGGUGUUGGUGGCCUAGGCAAGACAACCCUCACCAAAGCAGUUUUCGAGAAGAUCAAAGCCCAAUUUGAUUGUGCAGCUUUUGUCCCGGUGGGUCAGAACCCAGAUAUCAGGAAAUUUUUCAAAGACCUACUCUAUGGCCUCGACAAAGAGAAGUUCAAAGACAUUCAUAAUACAACAAGAGAUGAGAAACUACUCAUGGAGGAAAUCAGUGAAUUCCUUCUGGAUUGGAUAAGAGGUAUGCAUCACAUUGUCCUUGUCUUUGUUUUUAUAUUUCGAGAAUGUGUGAAGUAGCCAGAUACUGAAUUUCAUAUCAAUAUCUUUUUUUGUUAUAUGUCUUUAUAUUUGUAGUGGUCCUUUUCUCUGGAAGCAAAUUCUGUUUCUUCCUUUCUUGUGCAUGCACCUUAUCUUAUUUUUACCAGUUAUCUCUGCUGCAUUUCUUUCUACAUGCAUGUCGUUAGUGGUUGAAUAAUUCAUGUGGUUUGCUUAGUACGUUACCAUUAUGUUGUUACAGGAUUCAGUUGUAUAUAAAUUGACUUGCCCACUAAUGAUACAGUAUAACUGGCAUAGGUACCUCGUCGUAAUUGAUGAUAUAUGGGAAGAAGAAAUAUGGAGAUUUAUAAAUUGUGCUUUGUGUAAAAACAAACUCCACAGUCGGGUAAUCACGACAACUCGUAAUGUGAGUGUGUCUGAAGCAUGUCUCUCUUCCAGCGAUGACAUGAUUCACCAAAUGAAACCUCUUUCUGAUGAAGACUCACAGAUACUCUUCCAUAGAAGAAUAUUUCAAAGCGAGGAGAAAUGUCCAGAAGAUUUGCAAGCAGUAUCAAGAGAGAUACUGAAGAAAUGUGGUGGAGUACCAUUAGCCAUCAUUACAAUAGCUAGCCUUCUAGUCAGUAACCAAAGGAUAAAGCAGAAAGAAGAAUGGAUGCAUGUGCACAGUUCGAUGGGCCGUGGAGUUACAGAAGGUGGUAUUGUGAAGGACAUGAAGAGGAUAUUAUCACUCAGCUAUUAUGAUUUGCCAUCCCAUCUAAAGCCUUGUUUAUUAUAUCUAAGCAUCUUUCCUGAAGACUUUGAGAUUAACAGAGAUUUGCUGAUAUGGAGGUGGCUUGCUGAAGGGUUUAUCCAAUGUGACAAAGAUGAAACCAGGCUGUUUGAGAUCGGAAAGAGCUACUUCAACGAGCUUAUGAACAGGAGCUUGAUCCAGCCAGCGGAAACCAAUUAUGAAGGAACAGUAGUAACUUGCCGUAUACAUGAUAUGGUGCUUGACCUUAUAUGCUCGCUGUCAAGUGAGGAGAAUUUUAUCUCCAUAUUGGAUAAUGCUCAGUGGCAUGCACCUAAUCUGCAAAGGAAACUUCGCAGGCUAUCACUUCAUAAUAUCAAGGCAAAGUGUCGGAACCAUCAGUUUGAUAGCACUAGGCUGUCAAAAGUGAGGACCUUUGCUGUUUUUUCUCCUGUUACCUGUGAUUGGUUGCCAUCUCUCUCAAGCUUUCAAUUUUUGCGUGUGCUAGAUCUUGGAAAUUGUGGCAGCCAUGAAAGUAGCUCUGGCAUCAGCCUCAAGUAUGUAGGGAAUUUAAUUCACCUAAGGUACCUAGGGCUCAAGGAUGCAGAUGUUCGCGAACUCCCUGUGGACAUAGGCAAGUUGCAGCUCUUGCAGACACUGGAUAUAGGAGGCACUAUUAUAGAAGAAUUACCUUCAAGUGUUGUUCAGCUCAGAAAUUUGAUAUGCCUACGUGUCAAUUAUAGGGUGAGGCUGCCAAAAGGAAUGGGGAGCUUGAUGUCCCUUGAAGUGCUGGAACAAGUAGGAUUAUCCUCAUCUCCUCACAUUGCGGAAGAGCUGAGCCAUCUGACAGAGGUUAGGACACUCAGUAUUGACUGUGCUAACAUGGACGAGGAUCUGAUUGAUAUAUUAAUCAAGUCUCUAGGCAACCUGCACAAAUUGCAAAAUCUGCGUAUUGAUGAUGGUGGCAGAUUGAUAAAUCGCAUGCGUGAAAGCUGGGUGCCCCCUCCAAACCUCCGUAGUUUUGAUUCAUGGAGCAUCUCUUCUUCUUCGUCGUUCCUGAGACUUCCAAAGUGGGUUAAUUCAAGGUCGCUUCCCCACCUCUCCCGCCUGGAAAUAGAUGUGGAAGAACUGCAAGGGGAUGACAUUCAGAUCAUUGGGAUGCUGCCUGCUCUUCGGUUUCUGCGGCUGCGUGCAAGUCGCGUGAUGGGAAGGUUGGUUGUGAGGGCCGAUGCAUUCCCAUCUGCGAGAUGCUGCAUAUUCUGGGAGUUUCUGACGCCGCCGUGCCUUUUUCCACCUGGAGCCAUGCCAGGGGUUCGGCAUCUUGAGUUCCAGGUAUCUGCGCGGUCGAUCGCGAGUGGCGAGGUUGACUGCGGCCUGGGGCACCUCCCUUCUCUCGAGCAUCUUCAGGUUUCUCUGUGGCGUGAGAAUUCCAGCGAUGAAGAGAUGGAGACAGCCGAGGCUUGGCUGAGGCGGGCAGCAGAAGCCCAUCCAAAACGUCCCACCAUGAAAAUCUAUUAGACACGAGUGCUGAGUGCUGACAUGCCUCUGCCGCCGGUAAGGUACGGUAUACUCAUCUGAGCAACCAUGAAUUGUCGUUUUCCUGAAUAUGCUCAUUACCACAUUGUUUAAUCUAUCCUUCUUACUUUCCCAAUUUCAGGGCUUGAACAAAAUCCUGGAGUCAGGUACUGUAAUUCCAUCAGUUGCUGUGAAUGUUGUUCCAACAUUCCGAUAGGCAACAAACAAUUCUCUGUGCCGUCGCCCGUCGCAGUCACCAACAAUCACUGUACCACCGCAGCUCCCAAUAAAUGAAGGCUCAUUCCCUCCAACGUAUGUUCAGAUUCUGGCCUUUGCUAGACGGAGGCCUCCGCAUGAUUGUUCAUGACAAACUACUGUAUUUGCUAUUCUUUCUGCAUAUGCUUUCAGAAACUAUUUGUCAAGACUCGUACAAUAAAUGGCUGCCUCUACGUUUAUUUGAUUGUUCACAUACAGCAUCGUUUUGUUUCUACUGGCUUAUUAAUUAAGAGUUGAUUGAACUCAUGCUGGCUUGUUUUGCUUUGCUUGGCACUUGCUUAUUCAGUCAAGGCUCGUACAAUGAAAGGCAGUUUGUUCAACUCCUGUUGUAGCUCCAGAUUUGCUUCAUCCUAUUCGUUAAGCUUUCUCUUCUUGCUGCAACUCCUGCUUUCGAGCUCGUGAGAGAUAGAGCCACAAACGCUCAGAUGUUCAUAUUGUUCUUCAUGCCUCAAGGUUACAUACACAAGUGCAAAACUGAUGGCUACAUAAAACAUAAGAUAAAUUAUAAGUAGCAUUUUGUAUGCAAAAAGCCCACAAAAACAACCAACCACCGCUCACUCGCUCCUUUUUCGCAUAACAUCAACGCUCGCAAUUAUUGCCUCUCUUUCGGUUCCUGGAAAAUAUUUUCUUUCAAGAUUAUCAAUUGGACUAAGAAAAUCAAUUCAACGGUAGAUUAUCAAUUGGACUAGCAAAAUCGAUUGUCUGUAACUGACAACCAAUCUAAUGGUAUAAUUGAGCGAGCCGAGUAGUGGGUUGCUAACAGGAUUCCCAAGCUGGAAAUCUACAGAGAAAUAGACUUACCAUAUCCUCACCAAGGAAUGAGAUCGAGAACUGCUACAAACUGCUUUAGCUUCCUCAGAUAUUCUUCACAGAUGAUUGCCUCGGCUUGUUGCAAGCAAAUGUGAUUAGGUUUGUGGCGAUGGUGGAUGAUUACAACAAUUGGUCUACUAUUGUUGAGAGGUUCAUACUAAUAUUGUUGAGAGAUACUGCUGGAAAUAACUGCUGCAUAACUAGUGAUUAAAACAUAAGAAAUCUACAGCAAUUCUGUAUUGCAAAAACCUUGGCGCCCACAGCAGCCAACCAUAUAACUCGCGCGCUCUCCCUCUCGUUUUUUCAUUAGGCACAUACUUCCCAGAUAAUCAAAUUGAACUAAUGAAAUGAGUUAUAUAUAAAAAAAAUAUCACUAGAAACUUCUAAUGCAUAACUCUAAAAUACAUCUAUAUACAUCGAUAUGUAGUCCAUAUUGAAAUCUCUAGAAAGACUCAUAUUUAGAAACGGAGGAAGUAUUUCAAUCGGACUGACAAUCUAGAAAUGCACAAGAGCCUUAUAAACCCAGAGAAUAGGGCCACAGCUUCAAACAUUAACCACUAAAUCAUGGUCAGUCCGCGUUCAAACACAAUAGUCCAAUCACAGUCAGUCAGAGUUCAUUAACCAGGACAACAUUACAUAAUCCAUAAUCGACCACAAUGUAAAAAUCUCAUGACGGCCACAGAAAUUAGGCAGCCAUCGUUCACGGACUAUCGCAUCUUACAGAAAAUGCUGAAACAUCUUUAAGCAGAAGGAAAAAAAUUCCACAUAAAACAACAUACACAAGCACAAGAAUCCAUAGGCUACGCGGAAAUUUGACCACCACAGCUCUUGUCAUCUACCCUUAACACGCCAUCUCCUUUUGAUUCUCCGGGUGAGGCAAUUAUUUACAGCUAGCGACAUUUUAUGGCGGCAGGAGGACCGAAAACUUUCCAUAUGAAUGAAGCCGAUCAAAGGAACUCCAGC
This 20751-nucleotide long non-coding RNA is filed under the name Triticum aestivum (bread wheat). Its description in RNAcentral is "long non-coding RNA (TAES_LNC017515)". The record is from RNAcentral. Lineage: Eukaryota; Viridiplantae; Streptophyta; Magnoliopsida; Poales; Poaceae.